Molecule: long non-coding RNA, 1111 nt
Organism: Ornithodoros turicata
Lineage: Eukaryota; Metazoa; Arthropoda; Arachnida; Ixodida; Argasidae
Exons: 2
Source: RefSeq, a predicted model, not a curated record
CAUGUUCACACACUCGCAAGGUAAUUCCAGUACCAUUCCUAACUGUUUGUGGUCCCCAGUACAUUACUGCGACUGCAUUAUGAUGAUCUAGUGUUUAUUGUUUGAGUAUUUGCUACUCCAGAGUGCUCGAUGAGGAUUUCUACAUGGCUGAAGUUGAUUUGGUUUUGUUUGUUUUUCUCAUAUUCUGCACACAUUUCUUACAACUGACGCUUUUAUUUCAGGGUUCAUUGGUUGGCGCAUUGAGCUUUGCACUUUCUCCAUGCUUUCUGAGGUACCUAUUAAUUUUGCUUCCUAGCCCUCGUGGUGGAAUGAUGCUGUUGUAUUUGCUACUCAAGAGUGAUCGAUGAUUUCACAAUGCAUAUUCUGAACGAAAUUAACCUGCUUGAUGAUUAUAUGAACAGGCUUCUCGAAUUGAUGAGCUUGUCUUUGCAGGUUUUCACCGCAGCACUAUUGAUGAUGCACUGUUGAAAGGGAGACAGUCAACUGGAGGAUCCCACAUUGCUGAUUUGCUGCUUAGUGUAUCCACACUUAGGUAUGUAUUGGCAUUCACUUGUUGUAUAGCUUGUAAUCCUGUCAGCUUUUUCUAAAUGAUUUUGUGCUGUUGUCAGCGUUGCUAGUACUGUGCAACAAACUUUCAGGCAGACGAUAUUUUCAACAGUUGGCAGGUGCAAUUUGUUUGUGAUGCAAUUUUCCUAUUGAGUAUUUGCUAUCUGAAGAUAUGUGACGACUGCAGUUUGUUCUGAUCUUUUAGCUCUUCUGGGUAUAUAUCUAUAUUUGUGGAUGGAGUUAUUAAACCUUUUGUUCAUAUCUGUGGUGCAGGUCGGGGUCGUGUACUCAGGUGGGAACUUUUGAGGUGGGUAUUUUUCGUUACUGUAGCACACGUUUUGAUAGUGAUGAAAACAACUUCAUGUAGAUAGGGACAACUGAACUCUAGUGAUGUGAAGUUUCCUCUGAUGCAUUUGCUUGCUAAUCAGUGAUUUUUUAAUGUGCAUUUUCUGACGAGUACAUUCUCUUUCAGGUAAGUUGGAUGAACCUAACCUUCGGGAAAUGCAGAGGGAUAUUUUUUUUUUUUCCUGUGUAUGGCAAAUAAAGUUCUUCCAGCCAAAGUAUA